This is a non-coding RNA of Asparagus officinalis (garden asparagus), 73 nucleotides long. Lineage: Eukaryota; Viridiplantae; Streptophyta; Magnoliopsida; Asparagales; Asparagaceae. The record is from the annotation of a RefSeq genome assembly.
GUUGCUGUGGUGUAGUGGUUAUCACAUUAGUCUUACACACUAAUGGUCCCCAGUUCGAUCCUUGGCGGCAAUA